RNAcentral lists this ribosomal RNA (497 nucleotides) under uncultured bacterium. RNAcentral describes it as "partial 16S ribosomal RNA". It matches the Rfam family "Bacterial small subunit ribosomal RNA", at positions 28 to 507 of the family's 1533-position model. The record is from RNAcentral.
GAUGAACGCUGGCGGCGUGCCUAAUACAUGCAAGUCGAGCGAACGGACGAGAAGCUUGCUUCUCUGAUGUUAGCGGCGGACGGGUGAGUAACACGUGGAUAACCUACCUAUAAGACUGGGAUAACUUCGGGAAACCGGAGCUAAUACCGGAUAAUAUUUUGAACCGCAUGGUUCAAAAGUAAAAGACGGUCUUGCUGUCACUUAUAGAUGGAUCCGCGCUGCAUUAGCUAGUUGGUAAGGUAACGGCUUACCAAGGCAACGAUGCAUAGCCGACCUGAGAGGGUGAUCGGCCACACUGGAACUGAGACACGGUCCAGACUACUACGGGAGGCAGCAGUAGGGAAUCUUCCGCAAUGGGCGAAAGCCUGACGGAGCAACGCCGCGUGAGUGAUGAAGGUCUUCGGAUCGUAAAACUCUGUUAUUAGGGAAGAACAUAUGUGUAAGUAACUGUGCACAUCUUGACGGUACCUAAUCAGAAAGCCACGGCUAACUACGUG